AAAGACUUAGUUGAGUUGAGUUGAUCUAGAAUAACUUUGUUUAUGUAAUUAUGAAUAUUUCUUUGAAAGGUUGGGUCUUUGGCUCAUCAAUGGCAAACUUUUCUAAUUAUCACUUCUUUUGUUAUUGUCAAAUGCAAUAUAAUCUUUUAAUCCUUUAAAUGUGUUGAUUUAUUUCUUGUCAGUGUUGUACACAAUUUUGAUGUCUUUCUCUAAAGUGCUCUGGGUUUAUAUAAAUUGAUAUUUGCGUGCUUAAUUUUGUCCACAUACCAUUAAAAUAUAGCAGUAUAUCCACAUUAAGAAUGUCUUUUGCUUCCACAUAUGGAGUUGAUUUUAUGUUUCUUUAAAAGAUACUUUUAUUAAAGAGAAAUUUCCCCCUUUAUCUAGCAUUUUAAUUUAAGUGCUAGAACUUCGGCCUUCCCUUUACCAAAUUUCUGGUUCCACCACUGGCUAUAUGGUUAAAAUAUAUUUCUGAUACUGCCAUACUUGUGAAGUCUUUCUAGUUUGUGUGUUUUUUAUGUUUGGAACCUUAAAUUUCAACCUCUAAGCCUUCUUCAAAAUUUUAGUUUGAGGGUCCUGCAUGCCAUUUACCUAUAUGUCCUUGAAGGAUUUGAAAUUAUUUUGUUUAUACUUUGCACAUUUCUCCUUGCAAUCAAUAUCUGAAGGAUGAUGAGUUUUGUGUUCAUAUUGAAUA
RNAcentral lists this unclassified non-coding RNA (691 nucleotides) under Hevea brasiliensis (rubber tree). Lineage: Eukaryota; Viridiplantae; Streptophyta; Magnoliopsida; Malpighiales; Euphorbiaceae. The record is from RNAcentral.